UUCGGCCACGAGUAGAGCGGCGAACGGGUGAGUAACACGUGGGUGACCUGCCUUGGAGCGGGGGAUAACUUGGGGAAACUCGAGCUAAUACCGCAUACGUCGGCGAAGUCUAGGCUUCGUCGGGAAAGCUGGCCUCUGCUUGCAAGCUAGCGCUCCAAGAGGGGCCCGCGUCUGAUUAGCUAGUUGGUGAGGUAACGGCUCACCAAGGCUGCGAUCAGUAGCCGGCCUGAGAGGGUGAUCGGCCACACUGGGACUGAGACACGGCCCAGACUCCUACGGGAGGCAGCAGUGGGGAAUAUUGGACAAUGGGGGCAACCCUGAUCCAGCAAUGCCGCGUGUGUGAAGAAGGCCUGCGGGUUGUAAAGCACUUUCGUUGGGGAGGAGGCCUACUUUUGAGGUAGGUGACGUUACCCAAAGAAGAAGCACCGGCUAACUCUGUGCCAGCAGCCGCGGUAAUACAGAGGGUGCAAGCGUUAAUCGGAAUUACUGGGCGUAAAGGGCGCGUAGGUGGUUAAUUAAGUUAGCUGUGAAAGACUAGGGCUUAACCUUAGGGUGUCAGCUGAUACUGAUUAACUAGAGUAUGGUAGAGGGUAGAGGAAUUUCCGGAGUAGCGGUGAAAUGCGUAGAUAUCGGAAGGAACAUCAGUGGCGAAGGCGUCUACCUGGACUAAUACUGACACUGAGGCGCGAAAGCGUGGGGAGCAAACAGGAUUAGAUACCC
Molecule: ribosomal RNA, 720 nt
Filed under: uncultured bacterium
Lineage: Bacteria
Description: bacterial SSU rRNA
Rfam family: Bacterial small subunit ribosomal RNA
Source: RNAcentral